AUUGAACGCUGGCGGCAUGCCUUACACAUGCAAGUCGAACGGUAACAGGUCUUCGGAUGCUGACGAGUGGCGAACGGGUGAGCAAUACAUCGGAACGUGCCCGAUCGUGGGGGAUAACGAAGCGAAAGCUUUGCUAAUACCGCAUAAGAUCUACGGAUGAAAGCAGGGGACCGCAAGGCCUUGCGCGAACGGAGCGGCCGAUGGCAGAUUAGGUAGUUGGUGGGAUAAAAGCUUACCAAGCCGACGAUCUGUAGCUGGUCUGAGAGGACGACCAGCCACACUGGGACUGAGAAACGGCCCAGACGCCUACGGGAGGCAGCAGUGGGGAAUUUUGGACAAUGGGCGAAAGCCUGAUCCAGCCAGGCCGCGUGCAGGAUGAAGGCCUUCGGGUUGUAAACUGCUUUUGUACGGAACGAAAAGACUCUUUCUAAUAAAGAGGGUCCAUGACGGUACCGUAAGAAUAAGCACCGGCUAACUACGUGCCAGCAGCCGCCGUAA
Molecule: ribosomal RNA, 498 nt
Filed under: uncultured bacterium
Lineage: Bacteria
Description: partial 16S ribosomal RNA
Rfam family: Bacterial small subunit ribosomal RNA
Source: RNAcentral